This 201-nucleotide microRNA precursor is filed under the name Oryza sativa Japonica Group (Japanese rice). Its description in RNAcentral is "MIR812 microRNA precursor family". It matches the Rfam family "MIR812 microRNA precursor family". The record is from Rfam by way of RNAcentral. Lineage: Eukaryota; Viridiplantae; Streptophyta; Magnoliopsida; Poales; Poaceae.
UAUAAGGGAUUUUGAGUUUUUACAUGUAACGUUUGACCACUCGUCUUAUUCAAAUUUUUUUGAAAUUAUUAUUUAUUUUAUUUGUGACUUACUAUUAUCUACAGUACUUUAAACACAACUUUUUAUUUUUUAUAUUUGCAAAAAAAAACUGAAUAAGACGAGUGGUCAAACGUUACAAUCAAAAACUCAAAAUCCCUUAUA